This 77-nucleotide transfer RNA is filed under the name Aeromonas sp. MrichA-1. RNAcentral's name for it is "tRNA-Cys". It matches the Rfam family "tRNA". Rfam says of the family: Transfer RNA (tRNA) molecules are approximately 80 nucleotides in length. Their secondary structure includes four short double-helical elements and three loops (D, anti-codon, and T loops). Further hydrogen bonds mediate the characteristic L-shaped molecular structure. tRNAs have two regions of fundamental functional importance: the anti-codon, which is responsible for specific mRNA codon recognition, and the 3' end, to which the tRNAs corresponding amino acid is attached (by aminoacyl-tRNA synthetases). tRNAs cope with the degeneracy of the genetic code in two manners: having more than one tRNA (with a specific anti-codon) for a particular amino acid; and 'wobble' base-pairing, i.e. permitting non-standard base-pairing at the 3rd anti-codon position. Lineage: Bacteria; Pseudomonadati; Pseudomonadota; Gammaproteobacteria; Aeromonadales; Aeromonadaceae. The record is from RNAcentral.
GCGCAUGUGGCAGAAUGGCUUAAUGCAACUGGUUGCAACCCAGUUAUUUGUCGGUUCGAUUCCGACCGUGCGCUCCA